CCCUUAGAUGUCUUGGGCAGCACGCGUAUUACAAUGUUAGUGUUAACGAGAUGUGAGUUUAGGAUUCAUCCUUAACUUCCAAGUCUCUGGGAAACCACUUAAACGACAAGGGAAUCUUUUAAUUGCUAACGUGACUGGGAUUGUCCGUUGUAACAUGGACAUGAACGAGGAAUUCCUAGUAAGUGCAGAUCACUAAUCUGUACUGACUACGUCCCUGUUCUUUGUACACACCGCCCGUCGCUCCUACCAAUGGAAUGGUAAGAUGAAAGACACGGAUCCGCUCUUCGGAGCAGGGAAAUUGAUUAAAUCUUCCCGUUUGGAGGAAGGAGAAGUCGUAACA
RNAcentral lists this ribosomal RNA (340 nucleotides) under uncultured eukaryote. Its description in RNAcentral is "partial 18S ribosomal RNA". It matches the Rfam family "Eukaryotic small subunit ribosomal RNA", at positions 1470 to 1796 of the family's 1831-position model. The record is from RNAcentral.